AACGAACGCUGGCGGCAUGCUUAACACAUGCAAGUCGAACGAGACCUUCGGGUCUAGUGGCGCACGGGUGCGUAACGCGUGGGAACCUGCCAUUAGGUUCGGAAUAACCCCCCGAAAGGGGUGCUAAAACCGGAUACUGCUUCCGGACCAAAGAUUUAUCGCCUUUGGGUGGGCCCGCGUUGGAUUAGCUAGUUGGUAGGGUAAAAGCCUACCAAGGCGACGAUCCAUAGCUGGUCUGAGAGGAUGAUCAGCCACACUGGGACUGAGACACGGCCCAGGCUCCUACGGGAGGCAGCAGUGGGGAAUGUGGGACGAUGGGCGAAAGCCUGAUCCAGCAAUGCCGCGUGAGUGAGGAAGGCCUUAGGGUUGGAAAGCUCUUUUACCCGGGAUGAUAAUGACAGUACCGGGAUAAUAAGCUCCGGCUAACUCCGUG
This 433-nucleotide ribosomal RNA is filed under the name uncultured bacterium. Its description in RNAcentral is "partial 16S ribosomal RNA". It matches the Rfam family "Bacterial small subunit ribosomal RNA", at positions 29 to 507 of the family's 1533-position model. The record is from RNAcentral.